RNAcentral lists this ribosomal RNA (85 nucleotides) under Halopseudomonas yangmingensis. Lineage: Bacteria; Pseudomonadati; Pseudomonadota; Gammaproteobacteria; Pseudomonadales; Pseudomonadaceae. The record is from RNAcentral.
CUUGACGACCAUAGAGCGUUGGAACCACCUGAUCCCAUCCCGAACUCAGAAGUGAAACGACGCAUCGCCGAUGGUAGUGUGGGGU